UUACCGAGUGAGGGCCCUCUGGGUCCAACCUCCCACCCGUGUCUAUCGUACCUUGUUGCUUCGGCGGGCCCGCCGUUUCGACGGCCGCCGGGGAGGCCUUGCGCCCCCGGGCCCGCGCCCGCCGAAGACCCCAACAUGAACGCUGUUCUGAAAGUAUGCAGUCUGAGUUGAUUAUCGUAAUCAGUUAAAACUUUCAACAACGGAUCUCUUGGUUCCGGCAUCGAUGAAGAACGCAGCGAAAUGCGAUAAGUAAUGUGAAUUGCAGAAUUCAGUGAAUCAUCGAGUCUUUGAACGCACAUUGCGCCCCCUGGUAUUCCGGGGGGCAUGCCUGUCCGAGCGUCAUUGCUGCCCUCAAGCACGGCUUGUGUGUUGGGCCCCCGUCCCCCUCUCCCGGGGGACGGGCCCGAAAGGCAGCGGCGGCACCGCGUCCGGUCCUCGAGCGUAUGGGGCUUUGUCACCUGCUCUGUAGGCCCGGCCGGCGCCAGCCGACACCCAACUUUAUUUUUCUAAGGUUGACCUCGGAUCAGGUAGGGAUACCCGCUGAACUUAAGCAUAUCAAUAAGCGGAGGAAAAGAAACCAACAGGGAUUGCCUCAGUAACGGCGAGUGAAGCGGCAAGAGCUCAAAUUUGAAAGCUGGCCCCUUCGGGGUCCGCGUUGUAAUUUGCAGAGGAUGCUUCGGGUGCAGCCCCCGUCUAAGUGCCCUGGAACGGGCCGUCAUAGAGGGUGAGAAUCCCGUCUGGGACGGGGUGUCUGCGUCCGUGUGAAGCUCCUUCGACGAGUCGAGUUGUUUGGGAAUGCAGCUCUAAAUGGGUGGUAAAUUUCAUCUAAAGCUAAAUACUGGCCGGAGACCGAUAGCGCACAAGUAGAGUGAUCGAAAGAUGAAAAGCACUUUGAAAAGAGAGUUAAACAGCACGUGAAAUUGUUGAAAGGGAAGCGUUUGCGACCAGACUCGCCCGCGGGGUUCAGCCGGCAUUCGUGCCGGUGUACUUCCCCGUGGGCGGGCCAGCGUCGGUUUGGGCGGCCGGUCAAAGGCCCUCGGAAUGUAUCACCUCUCGGGGUGU
RNAcentral lists this ribosomal RNA (1062 nucleotides) under Eurotiomycetes sp. genotype 108. RNAcentral describes it as "eukaryotic LSU rRNA". The stretch from base 514 to 1062 matches the Rfam family "Eukaryotic large subunit ribosomal RNA", at positions 1 to 554 of the family's 3401-position model. The record is from RNAcentral. Lineage: Eukaryota; Fungi; Ascomycota; Eurotiomycetes.